This 253-nucleotide ribosomal RNA is filed under the name uncultured bacterium. Its description in RNAcentral is "partial 16S ribosomal RNA". It matches the Rfam family "Bacterial small subunit ribosomal RNA", at positions 524 to 776 of the family's 1533-position model. The record is from RNAcentral.
UACAGAGACUGCAAGCGUUAUUCGGAUUCACUGGGCGUAAAGGGUGCGCAGGCGGCCAAGUGUGUGAGGCGUGAAAGCCUGGGGCUUAACCCCAGAAUUGCACCUCAAACUACUUGGCUAGAGCAUUGGAGAGGGUAGCAGAAUUCAUGGUGUAGCAGUGAAAUGCGUAGAUAUCAUGAGGAAUACCAGAGGCGAAGGCGGCUACCUGGACAAUUGCUGACGCUCAGGCACGAAAGCGUGGGGAGCAAACAGG